RNAcentral lists this ribosomal RNA (320 nucleotides) under uncultured bacterium. RNAcentral describes it as "bacterial SSU rRNA". It matches the Rfam family "Bacterial small subunit ribosomal RNA", at positions 470 to 789 of the family's 1533-position model. The record is from RNAcentral.
UGACGGUACCUGACUAAGAAGCACCGGCUAAAUACGUGCCAGCAGCCGCGGUAAUACGUAUGGUGCAAGCGUUAUCCGGAUUUACUGGGUGUAAAGGGAGCGCAGGCGGCCAUGCAAGCCAGAGGUGAAAACCCGGGGCUCAACCCCGUGAUUGCCUUUGGAACUGUUUGGCUUGAGUACUGGAGGGGCAGGCGGAAUUCCUGGUGUAGCGGUGAAAUGCGUAGAUAUCAGGAGGAACACCGGUGGCGAAGGCGGCCUGCUGGACAGAAACUGACGCUGAGGCUCGAAAGCGUGGGGAGCAAACAGGAUUAGAUACCCUG